ACUUUGCCGGAUUGCUGAGAGGUGGUGCAUGGCCGUCGUCAGUUCGUACUGUGAAGCAUCCUGUUAAGUCAGGCAACGAGCGAGACCCACGCCCACAGUUGCCAGCGUACUCUCUGGAGUGACGGGUACACUGUGGGGACCGCCGCUGCUAAAGCGGAGGAAGGAAUGGGCAACGGUAGGUCAGUAUGCCCCGAAUAUCCCGGGCUACACGCGAGCUACAAUGGUUGGUACAAUGGGUAUCUACCCCGAAAGGGGACGGGAAUCUCCUAAAACCAAUCUUAGUUCGGAUUGAGGGCUGCAACUCGCCCUCAUGAAGCUGGAAUCCGUAGUAAUCGCGUUUCAACAGAACGCGGUGAAUACGUCCCUGCUCCUU
RNAcentral lists this ribosomal RNA (373 nucleotides) under uncultured Methanosaeta sp. RNAcentral's name for it is "bacterial SSU rRNA". It matches the Rfam family "Archaeal small subunit ribosomal RNA", at positions 965 to 1338 of the family's 1478-position model. The record is from RNAcentral. Lineage: Archaea; Methanobacteriati; Methanobacteriota; Methanomicrobia; Methanotrichales; Methanotrichaceae.